GACGAACGCUGGCGGCGUGCUUAACACAUGCAAGUCGAACGGACAGGCCCUGCUCUUGUUGCGUUCUCGAGUGCCGCACGGGUGAGUAUCACGUGUGUAACCUGUCCUUGACUUUGGGAUAACUUUAGGAAACACGGGCUAAUAUCGCAUAGGAGCUCCUGCUGCAUGGUGGUGGUUGGAAGGUUUCGGCGGUUGGGGCUGGACUCGAGGCUUCUCAGCUUGUUGGUCGGGUAGUGGCUUACCAAGGUUGCGACGGCUAGCCGGCAUGGGCGGGGGACCGGGGACAUGGGGACUGAGGUACGGCCCAGAAGCGAACGGGAGGCAGCGGGGGAGAAUAUGACACAAUGGGCGGAAGCCUGAUGCAGCGACGCCGCGUGCGGAAUGACGGCCUUCGGGGGGUAAACCGCUUUGGCCGUAGACGAAGCGUGAGUGACGGUAAUGGGUAAAGAAGCACCGGCUAACUACGUG
This 468-nucleotide ribosomal RNA is filed under the name uncultured bacterium. Its description in RNAcentral is "partial 16S ribosomal RNA". It matches the Rfam family "Bacterial small subunit ribosomal RNA", at positions 28 to 507 of the family's 1533-position model. The record is from RNAcentral.